RNAcentral lists this transfer RNA (74 nucleotides) under Candidatus Kerfeldbacteria bacterium. RNAcentral's name for it is "tRNA-Val". It matches the Rfam family "tRNA". Rfam says of the family: Transfer RNA (tRNA) molecules are approximately 80 nucleotides in length. Their secondary structure includes four short double-helical elements and three loops (D, anti-codon, and T loops). The record is from RNAcentral. Lineage: Bacteria; Candidatus Kerfeldiibacteriota.
GCGCGCUUAGCUCAGUUGGUUAGAGCGUUUGCUCGACACGCAAGAGGUCAGUGGUUCGAAUCCACUAGCGCGCA